CCUACGGGAGGCAGCAGUGGGGAAUAUUGGGCAAUGGGCGCAAGCCUGACCCAGCAACGCCGCGUGAAGGAAGAAGGCUUUCGGGUUGUAAACUUCUUUUCUCAGGGACGAAGCAAGUGACGGUACCUGAGGAAUAAGCCACGGCUAACUACGUGCCAGCAGCCGCGGUAAUACGUAGGUGGCAAGCGUUAUCCGGAUUUACUGGGUGUAAAGGGCGUGUAGGCGGGAAAGCAAGUCAGAUGUGAAACCCGUAGGCUCAACCUACGGCUUGCAAUUGAAACUGGCGAGCUAGAGUACAGGAGAGG
This 305-nucleotide ribosomal RNA is filed under the name uncultured bacterium. RNAcentral's name for it is "bacterial SSU rRNA". It matches the Rfam family "Bacterial small subunit ribosomal RNA", at positions 338 to 657 of the family's 1533-position model. The record is from RNAcentral.